GAUGAACGCUGGCGGCGUGCCUAAUACAUGCAAGUCGAGCGAACAGACGAGGAGCUUGCUCCUCUGACGUUAGCGGCGGACGGGUGAGUAACACGUGGAUAACCUACCUAUAAGACUGGGAUAACUUCGGGAAACCGGAGCUAAUACCGGAUAAUAUAUUGAACCGCAUGGUUCAAUAGUGAAAGACGGUUUUGCUGUCACUUAUAGAUGGAUCCGCGCCGCAUUAGCUAGUUGGUAAGGUAACGGCGUACCAAGGCAACGAUGCGUAGCCGACCUGAGAGGGUGAUCGGCCACACUGGAACUGAGACACGGUCCAGACUCCUACGGGAGGCAGCAGUAGGGAAUCUUCCGCAAGGGGCGAAAGCCUGACGGAGCAACGCCGCGUGAGUGAUGAAGGUCUUCGGAUCGUAAAACUCUGUUAUUAGGGAAGAACAAAUGUGUAAGUAACUAUGCACGUCUUGACGGUACCUAAUCAGAAAGCCACGGCUAACUACGUG
Molecule: ribosomal RNA, 497 nt
Filed under: uncultured bacterium
Lineage: Bacteria
Description: partial 16S ribosomal RNA
Rfam family: Bacterial small subunit ribosomal RNA
Source: RNAcentral